AGAUAUCCACUCGAGUUUGAUCUAGAAUAUUUUUUUCUUGAUCAAUCUGCCUACUCCUAGGUAGAUUGCAAGCUCCUUGAUCAAAUUCAAAUCUGAUCUCCGAUAGGACUCCGAUCAGCCUCUGAUCAUAGCCUUUUCGACUCUUCGCAUAGAACUGAUGGUGUUCAACAUCUUGAACCCACUAGAUGGCUCGUCCAACACCCUUGGAUAUGGAAGAGGGAUAUAUAUCAGAGAUAGAAGAAGGAGGAGGCAUGAAAAGGAGGAAGGGAGGCAUGAAAAAUGAUCUAUGUGCUAUAACCACUUUGGUCGAUCAAAAAGAAUCCCUUUUUAUAGGAAUCAGAUCAGAUUAGACGUCUUAAAAUAGAAGGACUCUCCUAGGUCCACCCCAAUCUAUUUUCUCCAUUGUUUUGUCACACAAAACCAAUGAGAAAUUUAGAUUGACAUGGAGAUAAGAUAAGGUUGUCGUCGUCUCAUUCCAAUCCACCUUCGAUUCAAAUUCAAACAGUUUAAAUUCAAAGUUGAAUUCUAAUUUGAAUUUGAAUUCAAAAGAGAUCAAAUCUCUUAUCCUCAUCUACUAGUGGAUGAGGCUUAUCCCUCUCUUUCUUCCUUAUCUGAUUUGGAUGACACACAUAUGGAUCCAAUCCAUGUGGGUGUGCCCCAUCACUUGGCUGAACAACAUUGGGUGACACCAACAUUUGGCACCCCCACAAACCUAACCUAAUUAGAUCAAAUUCGAACUUGGAUGAAGCAAUAUUUGAAACCCAAUUGGAGCUUGCACCAAAUUGAUUAAAUCCUGUCUAAUAGAAUUCAAAAUUAAGGAGGAGAA
RNAcentral lists this long non-coding RNA (826 nucleotides) under Elaeis guineensis (African oil palm). Its description in RNAcentral is "long non-coding RNA (EGUI_LNC039641)". The record is from RNAcentral. Lineage: Eukaryota; Viridiplantae; Streptophyta; Magnoliopsida; Arecales; Arecaceae.